GAUGAACGCUGGCGGCGUGCCUAAUACAUGCAAGUCGAACGCAUAGCGAAAGGUGCUUGCACCUUUCAAGUGAGUGGCGAACGGGUGAGUAACACGUGGACAACCUGCCUCAAGGCUGGGGAUAACAUUUGGAAACAGAUGCUAAGACCGAAUAAAACUUAGUGUCGCAUGACACAAAGUUAAAAGGCGCUUCGGCGUCACCUAGAGAUGGAUCCGCGGUGCAUUAGUUAGUUGGUGGGGUAAAGGCCUACCAAGACAAUGAUGCAUAGCCGAGUGGAGAGCCUGAUCGGGCACAUUGGGACUGAGACACGGCCCAAACUCCUACGGGAGGAUGCAGUAGGGAAUCUUCCACGAUGGGCGAAAGCCUGAUGGAGCAACGCCGCGUGUGUGAUGAAGGCGUUCGGGUCGUAAAGCACUGUUGUAUGGGAAGAACAGCUAGAAUAGGAAAUGAUUUUAGUUUGACGGUACCAUAGCAGAAAGGGACGGCUAAAUACGUG
Molecule: ribosomal RNA, 497 nt
Filed under: uncultured bacterium
Lineage: Bacteria
Description: partial 16S ribosomal RNA
Rfam family: Bacterial small subunit ribosomal RNA
Source: RNAcentral